This is a long non-coding RNA of Oreochromis aureus, 1412 nucleotides long. NCBI's taxonomy places the organism in Eukaryota, Metazoa, Chordata, Actinopteri, Cichliformes, Cichlidae. The record is from Ensembl.
AAAAGAUGGCGCAAAGGAAGGCGUGUGCCUCGGAUGUAAAACUCGAACAACGUGUAUGUGGUUUAUUCCUCCAUGAGAAGUACGAGAUACCACGGUAUUUCCUGCCCUAGAGAAUGGAACCCGCAACACUAUUUCAUUUAAGGGAGGAAACACUACGAACAUGCAAAAGCAUUUGCUCACAAAACACGCGAUGACCUUAAGUGAAUGUCGUGUUUUUAAUUCCGCUCCGGACUCGUGAAUCUCAGCCCAGCAGCAGCGGUAACGUUUGCACGUCCUCUCCCGUUAAUGCGGCAGGUGACCAUGAUGAGAGAGACAGACAGAGUCUGGCUGGCAGUUCUCGCUGCAGUCUACCGGUAGCGUCUCCUUUCAGGCCAGGAUGAAUGUCACCGAGCAGUGACUAAGUUUGUGGUCAAAGGCAUUUGCCACAGCAGAUGCCCCCGAUUUUCGGUAGAGGGUGGCAUCCUUCGACAGAGUUACAGUCCAGGUCAAUCCCUUUGAACCACAGGAAAGCAGCCACCUGUUGUUCUGUGGAGCUAAUGUCAAGCUCUCCAGGUUCCUCAUCGCUGUCAGUGGUCACCGCCUGAGCAUAUGACCGGGGUUUAAUAUGAAGCCCAGUGAUGAUGAUGUUGUUUAUCCUGGAAUAUUGUUUCAGGUCAGCGACCCUACUUUCCAGGUGGGGAUAAGCUGGAGGUGGAGGUGAAGUGAGGUCCGGGCGAGUACUGAGACCUUUAUGGGUGCGCAGGGAGGCAGGCAGGUGAGAUUGGCAGAUUGCCUGAAAAGGAUUAAGCAGCUGCUGACCGGAAUCCAGAAGCUUGGCUAUGGCAGGGUUUGGAUGACGAGUCCAGGUACCGACUAGGAGACAGGAAGAGAGAGGGUCUGCAGCCUUAAAGGCCGCAAUUUUAAGGCCGAUUACGUCACAGCGACGCGACGAAGGCUGUCCCAAUUCAAAGGCUGCUCAAAAUGCGGCCCUAAAAUGCGUCCUUCAUUUCCCUGAAUUUUAAGGAUGUGGCGGUGUAGACUUCAUGGCCCAACAUAUCCCAGAAUUCAUAGUGCGCCGGUGGGUGUGGAUAAUUUUACCAAAAAAAACGGUGGAAGCGGAGUGGCGAAAGAGUAAACUUUUAAAAGCCGACGGCGAGUUAAUAAGAGGAGGAUCCUCGGAGACCUUCACUUUCACCGUCCGUGCCUAUGCAUCAAUAUAUCGACACAAGGAUCUGUAAAGGGAUGCAAAGUAAAAGCAUACACAUGUAAAAAAGUCUGUGAAUUAAGAAAUAAAGAAAAUCAUGUCGGAAGAACACAGCAUUCCUGACGCUUUGUUGGAAGCCGUGGCGGAAUUGAACAGAGAUUCAAUUCCGCCACGGCGGAUUCAAUUCCGGAUUCAAACACGGCGGAAUUGAAUCGGAUUUAUACAUCGG